Molecule: long non-coding RNA, 2811 nt
Organism: Leopardus geoffroyi (Geoffroy's cat)
Lineage: Eukaryota; Metazoa; Chordata; Mammalia; Carnivora; Felidae
Exons: 2
Source: RefSeq, a predicted model, not a curated record
CUGAUGCUCUCUGUCUCUCAAAAAUAAAGAACAUUAAAAACAAAAGAGAAAAUAAAGUCUCAAUAUCUCUUCUGUGCAGCAAACCCAACUCAUUCUAUUUCUACCCCCGACAUAGAUGCACAUCACCUUUGAAAUCGUUCCAUUCAGCUUGACAAACACUGUCUGCCGUGCGCAAGAACACAGGCCGGGCUCGGUGGAAAUGUAGAAGGAAAGAAGACCCUGCCUUCAGCUUGGGACUUUCACAGAGUCAUGGGGAGGGCAGGGCGAGACUGGGCAAGGCCACAGGCCCAGGACUAAGGAGGCUCAGUCUGGGGCUCCUGUAGGUGCAGGACGGCACUCUAGGGGGAGCUCCUCCUUCAGCCGUGCUCCCAGGGCACCCUGCUCAUCUCUGGACCCUGGGGGAGAGGAAAGUGCUCCCACAGGACAGGCCAUCAGGGAGUCCGCAGAGGGAGGCAGCAAGGGGCAGCAAAAAGCGCUCCGGAGUUCCCACACCUGUGGGAAACCCCGCCUGGGUUACUUGGGGCACAGUCUUCCCCCUUUCUAGGCCGUUUUCCCUCGCAUCAUCGCUCAGAGUGUUCUCAAGAAAAGUCAAGUGAGAAAACAGACUGUCCGGUUGUGACAGAGGAGAGAGAAAUUCAUCCGCACAGCCGCAUGCGGGCUAGCGGUGGGCGCCAGGCAGAAACCAGGGUCUCCUAUCUUUGCCCAGCCGAAGCGCAAAGGGAGAAGGGUGCGUAAGUGGAGCUUUGUUUUUUUCUCUCAUUCCAGGGUGGCAUCCCCCUCAGCGCCAUCCUCGGGCACUCCCAGCCCCAGCAGUCCUCUGUGAAAUCUUGCCAUUGGUGGCCCAGCGUGCCGGGACAGGUCUGCGGGUCUAGACCACGGCUGCCUGCUGAGGGGUAUGACUGGGAGCGCGCCGUCACAAGUUGGCAGUGAGGAAAAUCCAAGGAAGUGAAGGCGCCCAGCAUCUGGAGGCCACGCCCCAGCCAUAUGCAGCAGCCACCACCAGCCCAGAUGCUUCAAAGGGGCCGAUCCUUCCAGAGGCCUUGUUCACAUUAGGCAGUGGAGGCUUGCCAAGUCCACAAACCCUCCACUACAUGCGUUAAUAAAAGGGCAGCAGUGGUGGCCACGCCCCCCAGAGGAUGCAUCGCUGCGGUGAACUUUUUCAGAUGCUGGGUGCCUUUCAUCAAGCAUCUUCUUCCCGCUUUGGGCUCCACAGCAAACCAGUAUUCACAUCCAGUCACUGCGCUGGGAUGGGGGUUUUUUGUGCUCCAUACUCUGUGCAGCUUGGCUGUAUAGGGAAAACUCAGUCCAUAAGACCUAAGAGGAGAAUUAUUCUUGAGGGGCCCACCGCACCCUCAUCAACGGGGGAUGGCGCAUGGCCAUUCUCAAAUCAUGGAAAAGAGAUUCAGAAACCAGACAUUCCCCAAACCCAAACCAUAAACACCAUGGGCCAACCACCUUCUUGCAGCUUCCCACCCUCUGCUAGAAUGAUAGCAUCCUCCUAUAAACCCCAGAGAGAUGGAAAGUAAGGCCUGUUUCCUAGAAGCAACUGAGAAUAUUGCUUUGAAAGCCCUGGAAUAUUCAUAGCCCUGAAAGUGGAAGAAGUGGGGUAAAGCAACAUUUCCUCAGUGCCUGCUGUAUGCCAGGUGUGUUGCUUAUAUAAGCACAUAUAAUUUCGACUGCAAAAUUUUUAACGGAAGAGAGAACUUAAACCCAGAGAGAUCACAGAUUUUUUUUUAAACGCCACACUGGUAGUGACAAAGCUAGGUCCAUGUUCUUUUUCCUACAACACACUGCCUAAUACAACACAUGCUGUUUCCCCCACCCCUUCUCCUGGUUACAACCUACUUCUCCUUCAAUAUGCAGGCCAAUAGCUUUCUCAGGGAAGGCUUCUGAGAUCCCCAAACUAGUGGGGUUGCUAUUAAACAUUCUCAUGGUGUUCUUGAGUGACCCGUGUCACAGCCUGCAACUAUGUUCUUGUCUGAUUUAUCCCUCACUCCAUCCACCUCUCUAUCCUCCCUCCAGGGAGGGCAAGUUUUAUUUGCCAUCUUUCACCAGCCCUGGUCAAGAGUUAAGGCUCCAAACCUGUUUUUCUGAGUGAAUCAUUUAUAGAUGUUUAUACAGGCAAGGCAAGAUAAACUGAAUUCUAAGAUGACAAUGAGAAUGAGAUGGUUAAAUGGCCUGAAAAAGUUUCAAAGAGUGACCAUCCCAUGGAUCUAAGUACAACCAACGGCCAAGGGGAAGAAGAUCUGGAAACAGGCCACUGGAUUAGGCAACUAAGAGGUCAGUGAUGUUCUUAGUAGGAAUAGUUUCAUGGGGCAGAGACAGAAGUAUUGAAGGAGGAAAAUAUAUGAGACAUUGAGUGAAGACCAUUCUUUCAGUAGGUUGGCAGUAAAGAGGAGGACAUAAAUAGGAUGAUAGAAUGAAGGGAAGCCAGGGGCAGCUCUUGUGCAUUUGUGUGUGUGUAUGUGUGUGUGUUCAAGUCAAAGAGACUUGAACAUUUUGCACUGGGGAAAAAGAAGUCCAAGAGAAGAUGUUGAAGUUAAAGAGAUGGAGGGAUUAGGUAACUGAUAGAGUAAUGUCAUGAAGAAAAUAGGUAAAGAUGGGGUCAAGAAUGUAGGAGAAACAUUGUCCUUCUCUUCACUCACAGUUGCUAGUAAAUCCCUGAAAAAAUUUCUGGAAAAAGUCACACACACACACACACACACACACACGCACACACACACACACAAGUCCUUUGGCUUAUACAAAUCAGAGUGGGAUAAGGGGUAAAAAAAAAAUCAAGACUACCUUCUAAAUCAGCAGUUGGAUAAA